This 71-nucleotide transfer RNA is filed under the name Camelus bactrianus (Bactrian camel). It matches the Rfam family "tRNA". From Rfam's summary of the family: Transfer RNA (tRNA) molecules are approximately 80 nucleotides in length. Their secondary structure includes four short double-helical elements and three loops (D, anti-codon, and T loops). RNAcentral also lists the same sequence under 1 other name. The record is from Rfam by way of RNAcentral. Lineage: Eukaryota; Metazoa; Chordata; Mammalia; Artiodactyla; Camelidae.
GGAUAUAGCUCAAGUGGUAGAGUGCGUGCUUAGCAUGCACAAGGUCCUGGGUUCAAUCCCCAGUACCUCCU